Molecule: ribosomal RNA, 597 nt
Filed under: Ochthebius sp. MNCN AC16
Lineage: Eukaryota; Metazoa; Arthropoda; Insecta; Coleoptera; Hydraenidae
Description: SSU rRNA
Rfam family: Eukaryotic small subunit ribosomal RNA
Source: RNAcentral
AGUCAUAUGCUUGUCUCAAAGAUUAAGCCAUGCAUGUCUCAGUACAAGCCAAAUUAAGGUGAAACCGCGAAAGGCUCAUUAAAUCAGUUAUGGUUCCUUAGAUCGUACCCACACUUACUUGGAUAACUGUGGUAAUUCUAGAGCUAAUACAUGCAAAUAGAGCUCCGACCGGUGACGGAAGGAGUGCUUUUAUUAGAUCAAAACCAAUCGGCGACGGAAACGUUGUCGUAAUUAUUGGUGACUCGGAAUAACUUUUUGCUGAUCGCACGGUCUUGCACCGGCGACGCAUCUUUCAAAUGUCUGCCUUAUCAACUGUCGAUGGUAGGUUCUGCGCCUACCAUGGUUGUAACGGGUAACGGGGAAUCAGGGUUCGAUUCCGGAGAGGGAGCCUGAGAAACGGCUACCACAUCCAAGGAAGGCAGCAGGCGCGCAAAUUACCCACUCCCGGCACGGGGAGGUAGUGACGAAAAAUAACGAUACGGGACUCAUCCGAGGCCCCGUAAUCGGAAUGAGUACACUUUAAAUCCUUUAACAAGGAUCAAUUGGAGGGCAAGUCUGGUGCCAGCAGCCGCGGUAAUUCCAGCUCCAAUAGCGUAU